AAACACUGGGACGCCAGAGCACAGGCGUCCCAGAUAGGAGGAAGUGUGUACUCACAUUAGCCAGGAGGAAACAAGCCUGCCUGGGAAGGCAGAAGAUCAGCCCUGGCUGUCACUUGGGCAGGGCGGGCCUCCAAGACACUGCCUACUGGAUCAAGGAAUAUCCAGGAGGUGUUAGAAGG
This is an unclassified non-coding RNA of Colobus angolensis palliatus, 179 nucleotides long. Lineage: Eukaryota; Metazoa; Chordata; Mammalia; Primates; Cercopithecidae. The record is from Ensembl.